GGUGGUUUCGAUGAGGAUAUUAAGCUCCCUCUUCUGAUUAAGGUUGAGGAAACUCGCUGGCAGAAUCGAACCAAUAAUUAUACUUGCCACCACUGAGUAA
Molecule: small nucleolar RNA, 100 nt
Organism: Humulus lupulus (European hop)
Lineage: Eukaryota; Viridiplantae; Streptophyta; Magnoliopsida; Rosales; Cannabaceae
Product: small nucleolar RNA R30/Z108
Exons: 1
Source: RefSeq, a predicted model, not a curated record